RNAcentral lists this long non-coding RNA (477 nucleotides) under Numida meleagris (helmeted guineafowl). RNAcentral describes it as "lncRNA (ENSNMEG00000001869.1)". The record is from RNAcentral. Lineage: Eukaryota; Metazoa; Chordata; Aves; Galliformes; Numididae.
GUUUCCUCAAGCUGCUUCAGAUCUGGGUGAUAAAAAUACUUUAUGGAGUUUUAUGAAGGCUUUAGAAAUAGUGUGUGAUUGUCCAGAUGUAAGAAUGCCUUUAUGAAAUUUAAAGAACAUCAGAGUAUCAGAGAUAUAGGUUCUUUUAGUAUACACUGCUAAAUACAUUUGUCUUACAGAAUUAGACAGCAAUCAAGAUCUGAAUUAAAAAUCCUCCUUCAGUUAUGAUACAAGACAUUACUGGUAAUUAUUUUCCAUACAGUACAAAGAAGAUAAGUUCUCCCUCUGUUUCCAGAUGGCAAAGAUAGAAGCUGUGUUCCUGUUUGUUCUACCCCUAAAAACAAACCCUGGAAACAACAACAACAACAACAACAACAACAACAACAACAACAACAACAACAAAAGGAACAUUCAAGUGUGAAGGAAGGCAAAUGAAAAAUGGUGUGUUGUUCCCAAGGUACUAUCAUUGUUGUGGAG